AGACCCGAAACCCGGUGAUCUAGCCAUGGGCAGGUUGAAGGUUGGGUAACACUAACUGGAGGACCGAACCGACUAAUGUUGAAAAAUUAGCGGAUGACCUGUGGCUGGGGGUGAAAGGCCAAUCAAACCGGGAGAUAGCUGGUUCUCCCCGAAAGCUAUUUAGGUAGCGCCUCGUGAAUUCAUCUCCGGGGGUAGAGCACUGUUUCGGCUAGGGGGCCAUCCCGGCUUACCAACCCGAUGCAAACUGCGAAUACCGGAGAAUGUUAUCACGGGAGACACACGGCGGGUGCUAACGUCCGUCGUGAAGAGGGAAACAACCCAGACCGCCAGCUAAGGUCCCAAAGUCAUGGUUAAGUGGGAAACGAUGUGGGAAGGCCCAGACAGCCAGGAUGUUGGCUUAGAAGCAGCCAUCAUUUAAAGAAAGCGUAAUAGCUCACUGGUCGAGUCGGCCUGCGCGGAAGAUGUAACGGGGCUAAACCAUGCACCGAAGCUGCGGCAGCGACACUCAGGUGUUGUUGGGUAGGGGAGCGUUCUGUAAGCCUGCGAAGGUGGCCUGUGAGGGUUGCUGGAGGUAUCAGAAGUGCGAAUGCUGACAUAAGUAACGAUAAAGCGGGUGAAAAGCCCGCUCGCCGGAAGACCAAGGGUUCCUGUCCAACGUUAAUCGGGGCAGGGUGAGUCGACCCCUAAGGCGAGGCCGAAAGGCGUAGUCGAUGGGAAACGGGUUAAUAUUCCCGUACUUGGUGUUACUGCGAAGGGGGGACGGAGAAGGCUAUGUUGGCCGGGCGACGGUUGUCCCGGUUUAAGCGUGUAGGUGUGUGUUCCAGGUAAAUCCGGUUCACUUUAACACUGAGGCGUGAUGACGAGGCACUACGGUGCUGAAGCAACAAAUGCCCUGCUUCCAGGAAAAGCCUCUAAGCAUCAGGUAACAUCAAAUCGUACCCCAAACCGACACAGGUGGUCAGGUAGAGAAUACCAAGGCGCUUGAGAGAACUCGGGUGAAGGAACUAGGCAAAAUGGUGCCGUAACUUCGGGAGAAGGCACGCUGACACGUAGGUGAAGUGAUUUA
This 1066-nucleotide ribosomal RNA is filed under the name Salmonella enterica. Its description in RNAcentral is "partial 23S ribosomal RNA". It matches the Rfam family "Bacterial large subunit ribosomal RNA", at positions 711 to 1769 of the family's 2925-position model. Lineage: Bacteria; Pseudomonadati; Pseudomonadota; Gammaproteobacteria; Enterobacterales; Enterobacteriaceae. The record is from RNAcentral.